Molecule: small nucleolar RNA, 81 nt
Organism: Corvus moneduloides (New Caledonian crow)
Lineage: Eukaryota; Metazoa; Chordata; Aves; Passeriformes; Corvidae
Source: Ensembl
AGUUUGUGAAUUAUGUUUCUUAAGAAAAAUCUCUGAACAUAUGAACUCCAUAGUGAUUUCAGUGCAUUACUGAGAGAAGCU